Molecule: long non-coding RNA, 5024 nt
Filed under: Homo sapiens (human)
Lineage: Eukaryota; Metazoa; Chordata; Mammalia; Primates; Hominidae
Description: HSALNT0401116
Source: RNAcentral
AAGCAAUCUUUCUGCCUUGGCCUCCCAAAGCACUGGGGUUACAGGCAUGAGCCACCAUGCCUGGCCCCAUGUCCUGUUUCUAAACUAAUAAUUAGCAAGGUAAGGCAAAAACGGUCCUUUUACCUGUAUUUGAGCUCACAUCUACGGAGGCUUCAACAGAACAAUUCCAUGUCCUAUUUUUGGAAGAAAGCUCCAAUUUCUAGCCCUAGUUUUCAGUGUUGUGGAGUAGUUUUAUUUCCUGUCUUUCGUAUUUUUUUUUUAAAAAAAGCUUCUCCAACAUUUUAGUUGCAAUCUGAGACAGUCUGUUUCAGAGACAAAAUUUUACAGCCAGAUGCUCCAGUGUGAGCCGCUGCAGUUUGUUUCUAAGGAUGAUCAGUAACGAAUGGGGAAUGCUUGUCAUUUGCUCAAAUAUUGUGAAGUCUUGUCUUUUCUUGGGCACAUGCACACUUUUAUAGGCAAGGUUUCAUCCAUCCGUAAUGCCUGCUGGGACAACUGGGAGAACAGGUCAGUCAUUUGCAGAAACAGACCUAAAACCCUAAGGCCUAGGAGCCAUCACAGCCCCCACCCCAUCUGGACAUUAACAAGACACACAGGGUGGGGAAAGAAGGCAAAUGGGAGUGCAGUGGAGUCAGGAGAUAGGCAACUCUGGGCCUCCACUUCCGUGGGGGAUUUUAAUAAUCUCCCUGGAGUCACAGUGGGUUGUUAUAAGGAGGCAGAGGGAAGGUAGGAUGGUUCUGAUACAGAAAAUAGCUCCUCAGUGGGACAGGGGAGAUGACAGCAGAGAAGCUUUCAACCACCUUUUUUUUUGUGAUGCCACAAGUCUCUGCAGCUCACCUGUAUAGCGCUAUUGCUCUAUUCCACGUGACAAAACAUGAGUCACCUGCUCAAUUAGUUUCAUUCAGUCCAUUAUCCCUAUAGCUAGGGAGAGCUCUCUCCCAUAAACUGGCAAAUCAUUGUUCAAUAUAUUUAAUCUUAAUAUGGUUGAUCCUUCCUUUUCUUUCUUUUUACCUCUCUUCCUCUCUCCAUCCUUCUUAUUCAUCCAUCCACCUAUCUAUCCAUCCAUUUACCUGAAGGUAUGUUGACCAUCUACUUUGUGUCAGGUACUAUUCCAAGCACUUAAUAUACAAUAUCUGAUUAAAUUUUAACAAUACCCUGGAAGUUAGCUCUUAAUAUUCUUUAUGAAUAUUAUAUGAGGUUUAGAGAGUUUAUGUGUCUUGUCCAAGAUUCAGCAAAAUUCAGCCCAUGGGCUAAAUUCAACCUAUUUUUGUAAAUAAAGUUUAGUUGGAACAUAUCCAUGCCCAUUUGUUUACGUAUGACACAAUUUCAGCAGAGUGGAGUAGUUACAACAGAGACCAUUUGGUCCACAAAUGCUAACAUAUUUACUAACUGGCCCUUAACUGAAAAAGUUUGCCAACCCCUGUUCUUGCCCAGUAAUACUUAGCAAGAAAGUAGCAGAGUCAAAGAUUCAAACCCAGAUCUAUUUAACUCAAAAGGCCAUAAUUCUUCAAUGCUGUGUCAUGCAACAGAAGUAUGUGAGUUUUGUCUACAUGACUUCUUGACACCUAGGGUGAGAUGGCCAGGCUAGAUUUAUGGUAAGAGGAACAGAUCUGACAUAUAUUACUUAGUAAGUAGCCAAUUACUGUGGAAGACUCUCUUCAUUUGUAAGAAAAGCCAGUGAGGAUGCUUUUUUUUUUUUUCCUGGUGAAGUAAUUAUAGAGACGAGUGUUGAUGCAUGUUUUGACUUUGCUGCAAAAGUAGUUCUGUCUUCUCCAGUUUAAGUAAUUACAUUAGUUUCUAAAUAGAGCAGAUGGAACUAUAGUUGUCAAAGAAUGCAAAGAUCAGUCAACUGCAUUUAUGGUGUGACAUUCUAAGCAGAGAUACCGCAAAGUAUCUUGUGCAAAACCAACUAGGUGAGUGCUAUUGAGCACCUGUGAGCCAGAAGAAAACAGGAGAAAAAUGUGGCUAAAUGGAAAUGGAAAUUUCUACACAAUGGGAUCUGGUGGCAAACACAUUUUCCUACCAUAAUGCCCCAACAAUUGCUUGUUUUCUAAUGUUGCCUGGUUGGGGGAAGAUAUAUUCUGAGUGUUCCUCCAAACUUGUAGAACUCAAUUUUUCUGGGGGAGAGGGUUGUCCUAAGAUGGUCUGCUUGGUACUCAGAGUGCAAAGAUGUCUCCUGCAAGAAGCAAGCAGCUUAUGAAGGAAGCAAUGACUUAAAGCAGACACGUUACCUCUAAAGAACAGGGAGAAGAUCAAAUCCAGAACCAGGCAGUAGUAAUAAGGGAACUGACCUGGCAAUAGGCCAAGGAUCCAAACGACAUGGGAACCAGGCAUGAUUCAAAACAGCCACUGCUGAACACCUACACCAAUGGGGGGAAAAAUGAUACUCUUAGCGUUAGAGUCCACAACUGCUACAGAGUCUCAGCUGUGAUUUCUACUGCCGGGUGUCCCCAUAGAAGUCUGCAUCCCAACCCCUGAGACCUGUGAAUAUGUUACCUUACUUAGCAAAAGGGACUUUGCAGAUAUAAUUAAGCUAAAGAUCUUGAGAUGGGGAGAUUAUUCUUCAUUUUUUGGGUGGGCUCAGUGUAAUCACAAGUGUCCUUGUAAAUGAAAGUGGGAGGUAAGAGGGUCAGAGUCAGAGAGAGAUGUCAAGAUGCUACACUGCUACCUUUGAAGAUAGAGGAAGGGGCCAUGAGCCAAGCAGUGCAGACAGCUUCUAGGAGCUAGAAAAAGUCAGCCGACAGAUUCUGUCCCAGAACCUCUAGAACCAACACAUCCAGGCAACACCUUGAUUUUAGCCCAGUGAAACCCAUUUCAGACAUCUGACUCCCAGAAGGCCAGAAGAUAAUAAAUUUGUGUGGUUUCAAGCCACUAUGUCUAUGGUAAUUUGUUAUAGCAGCAAUGAUAAACUAAUACAACAGCCCUGACUUGGGGGGAGGGUAAAGGAAAGAGCCACACACCACCACCCUCUCACCAUGGGAGGAAUAGUUGAAAUGAACACAUGACUUCAGGUCCCCAACAAAGAGCUGAAUGGGUUUCAGGCUAGCUUGCUAAUUCAUUCACCAAUUCUCAGCUCUGGUGUUGCUUGAUUCAGAAGGUAAAGACAAUUUUUAAAUUUCCUUAAUUUCAAAACUUAAUUCAUCCAAUGCAUUUAAUUUAAAAUCAUACAUUAUUUAUCCACAAAUCCUGAUACACAGGGAAAGAAACAGAAAUAUUUGCUGGACAGGUGGCAUGGAAACAAAGGGUUAUUAGCGAUUGCCAUGCAGGCCUAAGUGAAUUCACAAUGACCAUCAUGACAUCAUGUCUGUUGUUACUAUCAAGAGCGUUGCUCUUGGAUAAGUAUCAAUAACCUCAGAACUAUGGAAAGAACCAUGUGUGGAGUUUGGCACCACAGAUAUUCUCUGAGUGAUUGAAGUCUCUUCUACCAUGAGGCCUUGAAAGCUCCAUGAUAGAGAUGACAGAGCUAUAAGAUGAAAGCAGCCCAAAUCCCUGAGUCACCAAUGUUUGAAGAAGAGCUUCCCAGGAGAGGUACCAGACCCACAUGAGACUUCACAUGAUUAUAAAAUGAACUUCUAUUGUGUUGAAUCUCUGAACUUCAGGGUUGUUUUGCAGCACAGACUACAUUAUAGUGACAAGUAGAGGAAGGUACAGUAAAAGCCUUGCCAUCACUCCCAUUAUACAGAGGAAGAAACUGAGACCUAGAGAAGUUCAGAACCUUGCUACAUCAAUCAGAAGUACAAGCCAAGGCUCAUGAAGUGGUUUCCUUAUUUUCUCACCCCAAGUUAGGAUCACCUCCGAAGGAAAUGACUUACACCCAAAUCAGGAUCUGUUUUUGAGGGAACCCAACAUAACACAUGGAGAGAUGGGUUUCCUAUGAAGAAGGAAAUAUGGGCUGUAAAAUACCACGGAGAGUCAGAGUAAGUACAGGCGGCUACAACAAAGAUAGAUCAGGUCACGGAGGUCUCUGGGAAUAGAGGAAAGCCACCCAGAGGAAAAAAGGACAUGACUGCCACUAGCACCAUAUGUAUGUUUCAGAUGGGAUGUGUAUUUAUGUGUGUGUGUGUGUGUGUGUGUGUGUGUGUGUGUGUGUAGGGAGGGGUGACAGAGAGAGAGAGGCAGAAUAAAUAUCUUGGUCAUUGGUUACAAGCCAACAAAACUGAAGUGAUGAAACUCAGUGAGUUUUAUAGAAAUGUGCUGGAGAUGCUUCAAUUACUUUCUCAAUAGGUCUAUUUUGAUAACUGAAUGAAAAGAAUCCAUGUGAAGCACCUACCACUCUUCCUGGCUUGUAGUGAACACACAAAAAGAAUUGUUGAUUAUUGUAGUAGACACUGUAGUGUACCUCCUAGAUUCUCCUUACCCAGCCACUAUACCCAUCCCCAUUGCUGUGAGGUCAGGUGCCCAGGAAUCACAGCAUCCCACCCACCCUUCCCUUGCUCCAGGCAAUGCCCUCAACUGGUAGGUGUCACUUUGCCCAGAAACUACCAUUCUUCUCCAGGGGACCCACGGCCAAGGGCAAACUGGCAUAGGCUAUGCAAGGCUGGCCCCUGGCAGAAUGUAUGUGGAAGGGGCAACUCUUCAGUGUGCUUUAUGGACCAUGGACCAAAUCCAGCUCUCCAUUUGCUUUUGUAAAUUGUUAUUGGAACACAGCCACCCCAUUCCUUUUUGAAUUGUCCAUGGCUGCUUUCCUGCUACAACAGAAGUUGAGUUAUUGCAACAGAGGUCGUCUGGGCCACAAGAUCUAAAGUAUUUACUCUGGCCCUUGAUGGAAGAAACUUGUCCACCGAGCCCUAGAGCUGCACUUCCAAUAUGGUAGCCAUUGGCCAUAUGUGGAUAUUUCAAUUUAAAUUCAUUAAAAUUAAAUAAAAUUAAUAUUUCAGUUCUUCAACUCCAAAAAUUACAUUUUGAGUACUCAGUAGCCAUGAGUCGCUGGUGACUCUCCUAUCAGCCCAGAUACAGAACACUGCCAUCUUCACAGGAAGUUCUGUUGGAUGGUGCUGCACUAUAGGCUUCAGCUUCUGGGUAAAACU